Molecule: RNA transcript, 2639 nt
Organism: Acinonyx jubatus (cheetah)
Lineage: Eukaryota; Metazoa; Chordata; Mammalia; Carnivora; Felidae
Gene: PWWP2B
Gene name: PWWP domain containing 2B
Exons: 3
Source: RefSeq, a predicted model, not a curated record
GGCGGCGGCGGCGGCGGCGGCGGCGGGGCGGGGGCGGGGGCCGGGGCCGGGACGCGGCGCGGGAGCAUGGAGCCUCGGGCCGGCUGCCGGCUGCCGGUGCGGGUGGAGCAGGUCGUCAACGGCGCGCUGCUGGUCACCGUGAGCUGCGGCGAGCGCAGCUUCGCCGGGAUCCUGCUGGACUGCACGAAAAAGUCCGGCCUGUUUGGCCUGCCCCUGUCGGCCCCGCUGCCCCAGCCCGAGGACCCCCCAGUCAACGGCUGCCACGGCCCGGCCCCCGCGGAGCAAGACGGAGAGGCAAUGCAGCUGGGGACAGUCCCUCCACCGCCUCCCGACGGGGACCAGCCCCCCGAGACUGCAGACCCCAAGCCACCGCUCGUGCCCCCGUUCCCGCCAUAUUUCGAAGGCGCCCCCUUCCCUCCCCCGCUCUGGCUAAGAAGCACCUACCGGCAGUGGGUGCCGCAGCCGCCCCCCCGGACCAUCAAGAGGACACGCCGGCGUCUGUCCCGCAACCGUGACCCGGGUCGGCUGGCCCUGAGCCCCAUCCGCCUGCGGCCGCGCCAAGUACUCUGUGAGAAGUGCAAGAGCACGCUGAGCCCCCCCGAGGCCAGCCCCGGCCCCCCGGGUGCCCCGAGGCCGCGCAGGAGGGUGGGCAGCGGCCCUGGCUUUGACAGCGAGCCCCGCAAGCCGGAGGACCCGGCCGGCGGUGGUGACCCCGCGGCCACCACGAGGAGGAGCAAGAGGGAGAAGCGAGAGGAGGACAAGGCCCGGGUGCCACGGAGCCCGGCCAUCAAGAUCUCCUACAGCACGCCCCAGGGCACGGGUGAGGUCGUGGAGAUCCCCUCCCGCGUGCACGGGUCCCUCGAGCCCUUCUGCCCCUCCCAGGCCCUGCACGGUGGCGGCCAGGACCCCAGCGGGCCCAGCGCCUCCAUCCCCAAGCUGAAGCUGACGCGCCCCGGGCCCCCUGGCGCCGGCCUGCCGCCCCCCAAGAUCCGCCUGAAGCCCCACCGCCCGGGGGCCGGGGAGCGGGAGCCCGUCUACAGAGCCGAGCUGGUGGAGGCGCUCAACGGCCACGGGCGAGGCCCCCGGGCCAGCUCACCCCCUCUCCUGGGCCACGGCUCCGCGGGCCGUGGGCCGGUGGACUCGUCUUCCGGAAGUUCUGGUGAGGAUGAUGACUUCAAGCGGUGUCCCCAGGGCAAACCCCAGCAGGACGGCCUGGCGUUCCUUGCCGCCUGCCCUAGGAGGGGGACGGACUGUGCCGGCGAAUCUGUGUGGAGCAGCGACAGCCUGGACGAGUCCAAAUCGUGCAGCUCGGAAGUGCCGUCACCGGACACGUGUGACCUGUCCGGCGACGGUGCAUCUGUGAGGUCCUCGUCCGGGGCCGCGAGGCAGACGGUCCCGCCCCUGACAGUCAGGCUGCACACACAGAGCGUCUCCAAGUGCGUGACUGAGGACGGAAGGACCGUGGCCGUGGGGGACAUCGUGUGGGGUAAGGUUCAUGGUUUUCCUUGGUGGCCAGCGCGUGUCCUUGACAUCAGUCUUAGCCAGAAGGAGGACGGGGAGCCUUCCUGGCAAGAAGCCAAAGUCUCGUGGUUUGGUUCUCCGACUACGUCAUUCUUGUCUACUUCAAAACUCUCCCCUUUCUCUGAGUUUUUCAAACUGAGAUUUAACCGUAAGAAGAAGGGGAUGUACCGGAAAGCCAUAACGGAGGCCGCCAAUGCCGCGCAGCCUGUGGCCCCGGAAAUAAGGGAGGUCUUAACCCAGUUUGAGACGUAAGCCGCCCGACCAGGUGAGCGCGCAGGGCUGCUCCUGUGCCCCUCCCGCCGCUCUGCUGGGAAGCCUCCUCCCUCUGGCUGGCAGCUGGCAGAGAGGCCUGCUUAAUGGCAGCGGCACCCUGCUUUGCGGUUCGCGGAAGAGAGGCUUUCCGAAUCGAGUCGUGGGGGAUCGUCAGCCACCGUGCGGAGAACAGGGCUGGUCACCGACGGUGAGGGCAUGGCUGUUCUCCUGGACCUUCUGACUUUGGGGGUGCCCUCCGCAUCACCUGUUCCGUCUGAGGGGCCCCGUGUGCCUUCUGGCCAGCUGCCUGCAGAAAUGCGCCAGGCCCACGGUGGCCAGCCUGCUGGGGGUCCCCAGAGGGGAGCAGGUGUGUGUGGGGAGGAGGACAGCCCCCAGGAGCACCGCGGCUCCUCCCCGCUGAACAUCCUUAUCCCCCGACUCAGGCUUUAGCUCCUGUGGUUUGUGAAGUUCCAGGAGCCCACGACACCCUUCCUGCUGCUGCCUCGCCCACUGGGGCACCUAGCAGGGGCGAGGCCUGCCACCCCGCGUCCAGGUCCUGGGCCAGGCCCCCUCAGGCCCGCAGGCUUCCAGAAACCAGCUUGCACGUGUGGGGCGCUUCCUCCCCAAGCCCUCGGCACGGGGUCUCUGUGCACUUGAGAACCCGGAACCUGCCCGGCCUCCCCCAUGAUCCUCCCAAAGCUGGGCGCCUGUGGGCACCCUGGCGGUGAGGGCCUGAGGAGGGGAGCCACUCUGGGAAUGCGGGAGACUUCCAAAGGAAAACAGCUUGGCCUGUUGUUUGUAGGAGCUGCUCCUGUCUCCUUUCUGUCACUUUAAAGACCAAAAAGAAAAAGAAAGAAACAGAAAAC